UUCGGUCUGGUGGCGAGUGGCGAACGGGUGAGUAAUAUAUCGGAACAUACCCAGUAGUGGGGGAUAACUAUCCGAAAGGAUAGCUAAUACCGCAUACGAUCUGUGGAUGAAAGCAGGGGAUCUUCGGACCUUGUGCUAUUGGAAUGGCCGAUAUCUGAUUAGCUAGUUGGUAGGGUAAAAGCCUACCAAGGCGACGAUCAGUAGCUGGUCUGAGAGGACGACCAGCCACACUGGAACUGAGACACGGUCCAGACUCCUACGGGAGGCAGCAGUGGGGAAUUUUGGACAAUGGGGGCAACCCUGAUCCAGCAAUGCCGCGUGAGUGAAGAAGGCCCUCGGGUUGUAAAGCUCUUUUGUCAGGGAAGAAACGGAGUUCUCUAAUAUAGGAUUCUAAUGACGGUACCUGAAGAAUAAGCACCGGCUAACUACGUGCCAGCAGCCGCGGUAAUACGUAGGGUGCAAGCGUUAAUCGGAAUUACUGGGCGUAAAGCGUGCGCAGGCGGUUUUGUAAGUCUGAUGUGAAAUCCCCGGGCUCAACCUGGGAACUGCAUUGGAGACUGCAAGGCUAGAGUGUGUCAGAGGGGGGUAGAAUUCCACGUGUAGCAGUGAAAUGCGUAGAGAUGUGGAGGAAUACCGAUGGCGAAGGCAGCCCCCUGGGAUAACACUGACGCUCAUGCACGAAAGCGUGGGGAGCAAACAGGAUUAGAUACCCUGGUAGUCCACGCCCUAAACGAUGUCUACUAGUUGUCGGGACUUAAUUGUCUUGGUAACGCAGCUAACGCGUGAAGUAGACCGC
This 796-nucleotide ribosomal RNA is filed under the name uncultured Burkholderiales bacterium. RNAcentral describes it as "SSU rRNA". It matches the Rfam family "Bacterial small subunit ribosomal RNA", at positions 79 to 872 of the family's 1533-position model. The record is from RNAcentral. Lineage: Bacteria; Pseudomonadati; Pseudomonadota; Betaproteobacteria; Burkholderiales.